AAUUUAUUAGUGAAAAAUAAUGUAAAACGUGUACCUAAAGUACGGUGCCAAAAUUAUGUUGAAAAUGUAGUGUGGCAUUAUACUGGCAAUGUUUUUAAAAGCCAUUUUCGCCUUAGUCGACCAACAUUUACUUUUUUAUUGGAGCUGUUAACUCCGCAAUUAUUGAAACAGUCUGAAGAAUGUGGGAGGCAUACUAUUCCACCAGAGAAGACAUUACUCUUGGCAAUAUGGAUGAUGGCAACUCCCAAUUCGUAUAGAUGUGUUGCUGAUUGAUUCAAUGUCGGAAAAGCAACGGCUUGGAGAUGUGUUCACAAAGUUGUGAAUGCAUUAUAUUCACAUCUUCAUACAUUCAUUACAUGGCCAGACAGAGUAAGAGCAGAAAAUAUUUGGACACAUGUUAAAAACAAAUACAAAUUUCCAAAAGUGAUAGGAGCGAUAGACGGUACUCAUAUAAAAAUUGCAGCACCGAAAUUACAUCCAGAAGCUUACAUAAAUAGAAAAGGCUAUCACUCUAUACAGACACAGAUAAUAUGUGAUAAUGAAUUAAAAAUCACUUAUGUUUAUGCAGGACAAGUAGGGUCAGUGCAUGACAUGAGAGUUUUUAGAUUAUCUGGCUUUGAAGACAUGUGUACCGCAGAAAACUUCCCAGAGAAUAGCCAUUUAUUAGGUGAUGCCGCAUACGGCAUCCAAAAAUAUAUAAUGGUUCCGUUUAAAGAUAAUGGACAUUUAACAGAUGCACAAGUAAAAUAUUAUAUAAUACUUGUUUGUCUGAAGCGAGAAUGAUGGUAAAAAGAACAAUAGGCUUGUUAAAAGGAAGAUUUCGAAGUCUUUUGGAUAUAUUACCUAUGAGAAGAACUGAUUUGAUACCUAAAUAUAUUUGUGCUUGUUGUGUUUUACAUAAUAUUUGCUUAAUACGAAAUGAUUACAUUGAUGAUAUUCCAAUUAUUGUACAGCCAAAUGAACCUGUACAAUAUGAAAUCGAAAAUAUACCUCAAAUUAUACGAGAAGAAGGUAUUGAGAAACGUAACGCUAUUGUAUA
Nylanderia fulva is the source of this 1039-nucleotide non-coding RNA. The record is from RefSeq and is a predicted model, not a curated record. Lineage: Eukaryota; Metazoa; Arthropoda; Insecta; Hymenoptera; Formicidae.